AAUUCACAAAAUAAUUUAUUUUUAAUAAUUUGUCAUUUUUGAAAAUUUCCUGUUGUAGAGAAGACUAUUCCCCAAGAAGAAUGAGUGUCUGCAAUUAUUUAAAGCCAUUUCUGUUCCAAAUGUGGUAGUACUCAGAAUAGAGUUUGCAUGAGACCUGAGGCCCAUCACAGAGAAACUCCCACUAACCUAUCAGUGAUGAGGAGGUAAAGUGGCUCCUCUGGAGGACACAAAUUCUACCAAAGCCAGCAAAAUUGCCAUCAGGAAGGUGCAGCCUUACAGCUAGUUACUCCGGUCACUAGGGAUGUGACUUUCUGUGGACACAAGACCCCUGACACCAGUAUCCUAAGAGAUAGGUGUGUAAGGAAGAUUCUCUUCUCCCUUGUUGCAGGAUGACACAGCAGAACUUCUCAGUCAGCACCUAU
This 422-nucleotide long non-coding RNA is filed under the name Phasianus colchicus (ring-necked pheasant). Its description in RNAcentral is "lncRNA (ENSPCLG00000019962.1)". The record is from RNAcentral. Lineage: Eukaryota; Metazoa; Chordata; Aves; Galliformes; Phasianidae.